This 1346-nucleotide ribosomal RNA is filed under the name uncultured bacterium. RNAcentral describes it as "bacterial SSU rRNA". It matches the Rfam family "Bacterial small subunit ribosomal RNA", at positions 28 to 1381 of the family's 1533-position model. The record is from RNAcentral.
GACGAACGCUGGCGGCGUGCUUAACACAUGCAAGUCGAACGGAAAGGCCCUGCUUUUGUGGGGUGCUCGAGUGGCGAACGGGUGAGUAACACGUGAGUAACCUGCCCUUGACUUUGGGAUAACUUCAGGAAACUGGGGCUAAUACCGGAUAGGAGCUCCUGCUGCAUGGUGGGGGUUGGAAAGUUUCGGCGGUUGGGGAUGGACUCGCGGCUUAUCAGCUUGUUGGUGGGGUAGUGGCUUACCAAGGCUUUGACGGGUAGCCGGCCUGAGAGGGUGACCGGCCACAUUGGGACUGAGAUACGGCCCAGACUCCUACGGGAGGCAGCAGUGGGGAAUAUUGCACAAUGGGCGGAAGCCUGAUGCAGCAACGCCGCGUGCGGGAUGACGGCCUUCGGGUUGUAAACCGCUUUCGCCUGUGACGAAGCGUGAGUGACGGUAAUGGGUAAAGAAGCACCGGCUAACUACGUGCCAGCAGCCGCGGUGAUACGUAGGGUGCGAGCGUUGUCCGGAUUUAUUGGGCGUAAAGGGCUCGUAGGUGGUUGAUCGCGUCGGAAGUGUAAUCUCGGGGCUUAACCCUGAGCGUGCUUUCGAUACGGGUUGACUUGAGGAAGGUAGGGGAGAAUGGAAUUCCUGGUGGAGCGGUGGAAUGCGCAGAUAUCAGGAGGAACACCAGUGGCGAAGGCGGUUCUCUGGGCCUUUCCUGACGCUGAGGAGCGAAAGCGUGGGGAGCGAACAGGCUUAGAUACCCUGGUAGUCCACGCUGUAAACGGUGGGUACUAGGUGUGGGGUCCAUUCCACGGGUUCCGUGCCGUAGCUAACGCUUUAAGUACCCCGCCUGGGGAGUACGGCCGCAAGGCUAAAACUCAAAGGAAUUGACGGGGCCCCGCACAAGCGGCGGAGCAUGCGGAUUAAUUCGAUGCAACGCGUAGAACCUUACCUGGGUUUGACAUGGAUCGGGAGUGCUCAGAGAUGGGUGUGCCUCUUUUGGGGUCGGUUCACAGGUGGUGCAUGCCUGUCGUCAGCUCGUGUCGUGAGAUGUUGGGUUAAGUCCCGCAACGAGCGCAACCCUUGUUCACUGUUGCCAGCACGUUAUGGUGGGGACUCAGUGGAGACCGCCGGGGUCAACUCGGAGGAAGGUGGGGAUGACGUCAAGUCCUCAUGCCCCUUAUGUCCAGGGCUUCACGCAUGCUACAAUGGCUGGUACAGAGAGUGGCGAGCCUGUGAGGGUGAGCGAAUCUCGGAAAGCCGGUCUCAGUUCGGAUUGGGGUCUGCAACUCGACCUCAUGAAGUCGGAGUCGCUAGUAAUCGCAGAUCAGCAACGCUGCGGUGAAUACGUUCCCGGGGCC